RNAcentral lists this ribosomal RNA (249 nucleotides) under uncultured bacterium. RNAcentral describes it as "partial 16S ribosomal RNA". It matches the Rfam family "Bacterial small subunit ribosomal RNA", at positions 15 to 258 of the family's 1533-position model. The record is from RNAcentral.
GAUCAUGGCUCAGGAUGAACGCUGGCGGCGUGCUUAACACAUGCAAGUCGAACGGACUUUACAUGAAGCCUAGCGAUUGUAAAGUUAGUGGCGGACGGGUGAGUAACGCGUGAAUAACCUGCCCUGUACCGGGGGACAACAGUUGGAAACGACUGCUAAUACCGCAUAAGCGCACGGUUCCGCAUGGACAGUGUGAAAAACUCCGGUGGUACAGGAUGGAUUCGCGUCUGAUUAGCCAGUUGGUGGGGG